This 90-nucleotide transfer RNA is filed under the name Deltaproteobacteria bacterium. Its description in RNAcentral is "tRNA-Ser". It matches the Rfam family "tRNA". From Rfam's summary of the family: Transfer RNA (tRNA) molecules are approximately 80 nucleotides in length. Their secondary structure includes four short double-helical elements and three loops (D, anti-codon, and T loops). Further hydrogen bonds mediate the characteristic L-shaped molecular structure. tRNAs have two regions of fundamental functional importance: the anti-codon, which is responsible for specific mRNA codon recognition, and the 3' end, to which the tRNAs corresponding amino acid is attached (by aminoacyl-tRNA synthetases). tRNAs cope with the degeneracy of the genetic code in two manners: having more than one tRNA (with a specific anti-codon) for a particular amino acid; and 'wobble' base-pairing, i.e. permitting non-standard base-pairing at the 3rd anti-codon position. The record is from RNAcentral. Lineage: Bacteria; Pseudomonadati; Myxococcota; Myxococcia. RNAcentral also lists the same sequence under 1 other name.
GGAGAGAUGCCGGAGCGGUCGAACGGGGCGGUCUCGAAAACCGUUGAGGGCGUAAGCCCUCCGGGGGUUCGAAUCCCCCUCUCUCCGCCA